RNAcentral lists this long non-coding RNA (448 nucleotides) under Gossypium raimondii (Peruvian cotton). RNAcentral describes it as "long non-coding RNA (GRAI_LNC004889)". The record is from RNAcentral. Lineage: Eukaryota; Viridiplantae; Streptophyta; Magnoliopsida; Malvales; Malvaceae.
GCCUCACUCAAAAAAUUAUAUAUUCCACCAGUUCAUGAGCUAUAUCAAGCAUAUCUCUGAUGUGGGAAUAAAAUGUUAGAAAGAGACAUUUCCCAUCACAAUCUGACAGUUUAUGUCUUAUGAUGUUGGUGUUAUUUUCUCUUUUAUGUAAUAAUGGUGUUGAAAGUGUUGUGUUGAGCGAUCAAAAGAAAAAAAGCCAAGGAACAAAAAAGAGAAAGAUUGCAGCAACAAAAUAUUCAGUCCCAAUCAAUACAAGAAUGAAAUAUUACGUAUCUCAUGGUUUGGUUAUAAGUUAUUAUCCCAGAAAACCAAAAUAAAAUAAAAUGAAAUAAAAUAAAAGCAGUGGCUGAUGGAUGCCUGGACUUCCCCAUGUAUGCCACCGAGAUUCCUCCUUGCUUCUUCUUACAUCAUCUCCAUGCCUUACAUUUUUCAACUCUUGAAGCACACC